GGUAAUUUCCUUUUUGACAAGGGAAAGCAAGUUAAUGGGUGUCGCAACCAACAUGAUAUGAUCAUAGAUUGGUAGCCCUUUUCAUUUUGCACUGGUUAUCAUCAGGGUUUUGGAUUGAGGUGAACAAUGGCAUCUCCAUGUUUAACUGGGGUUGCUAAAAGACUAACAUAUUUAUAAGAAUGAUAUAUAUUGUCGAAAGAGCUAGAUCUUCCCCCCAUCAGAAACUUCCCAUUUAUUUUUAAAAACGUCGGAAGAAAGAAGAGAA
RNAcentral lists this unclassified non-coding RNA (265 nucleotides) under Hevea brasiliensis (rubber tree). Lineage: Eukaryota; Viridiplantae; Streptophyta; Magnoliopsida; Malpighiales; Euphorbiaceae. The record is from RNAcentral.